UGGGGAAUUUUGGACAAUGGGCGAAAGCCUGAUCCAGCAAUGCCGCGUGUGUGAAGAAGGCCUUCGGGUUGUAAAGCACUUUUGUCCGGAAAGAAAUCCUUGGCUCUAAUACAGUCGGGGGAUGACGGUACCGGAAGAAUAAGCACCGGCUAACUACGUGCCAGCAGCCGCGGUAAUACGUAGGGUGCAAGCGUUAAUCGGAAUUACUGGGCGUAAAGCGUGCGCAGGCGGUUUGCUAAGACCGAUGUGAAAUCCCCGGGCUCAACCUGGGAACUGCAUUGGUGACUGGCAGGCUAGAGUAUGGCAGAGGGGGGUAGAAUUCCACGUGUAGCAGUGAAAUGCGUAGAGAUGUGGAGGAAUACCGAUGGCGAAGGCAGCCCCCUGGGCCAAUACUGACGCUCAUGCACGAAAGCGCGGGGAGCAAACAGGAUUAGAUACCCUGGUAGUCCACGCCCUAAACGAUGUCAACUAGUUGUUGGGGAUUCAUUUCCUUAGUAACGUAGCUAACGCGCGAAGUUGACCGCCUGGGGAGUACGGUCGCAAGAUUAAAACUCAAAGGAAUUGACGGGGUCAUAGCUGUUUCCU
This 585-nucleotide ribosomal RNA is filed under the name uncultured bacterium. RNAcentral's name for it is "partial 16S ribosomal RNA". It matches the Rfam family "Bacterial small subunit ribosomal RNA", at positions 355 to 1375 of the family's 1533-position model. The record is from RNAcentral.